RNAcentral lists this ribosomal RNA (253 nucleotides) under uncultured bacterium. RNAcentral describes it as "partial 16S ribosomal RNA". It matches the Rfam family "Bacterial small subunit ribosomal RNA", at positions 524 to 776 of the family's 1533-position model. The record is from RNAcentral.
UACGUAGGGACCAAGCGUUGUUCGGAUUUACUGGGCGUAAAGGGCGCGUAGGCGGCGUGACAAGUCACUUGUGAAAUCUCUGAGCUUAACUCAGAACGGCCAAGUGAAACUGUUGUGCUAGAGUGCAGAAGGGGCAAUCGGAAUUCUUGGUGUAGCGGUGAAAUGCGUAGAUAUCAAGAGGAACACCUGAGGUGAAGACGGGUUGCUGGGCUGACACUGACGCUGAGGCGCGAAAGCCAGGGGAGCAAACAGG